GAACUCUGUGAUCUGAAGGUGGGCAGGGGGCUGGCUGGGAGGGGACUUGAAUGGUGGCUUGGGAAGGAAGUCCUUCUCUGAAGGUGCCCAAGAAAGGGUCAGCCAAAGAGAGCUGCCGACCCAUGUGCGGGAAGCCUAGGGGACGGGCUACAGAGAGCGAUGAAUGGGAGCCAUUUGAAAGAAAGGAUGUGACAAAUUAAAGCGCAAUAAUGACUGUGGCUCAGGACUCAGAGCUUUUAUCCAGCCUUGAGCUAUUCUUGCUCUGCGUGGGGGAGGGAGGGCUGUAGGCUGCUUCGUCUUCCGAGUAAGGAUGUGAAAAUGAAGAGGAGCCUGGUCUGAGGCUGAGGGGGGAGACAGCAGAUGAGUGCGUGGCCCAGGAGCCAGAGGAAAAGGAGCUGAAGAAAGAGCCUGGUGGGUACCUUUGUGCAAAUUGGGAAAAGAUGCCCUUCUUCUGGAAAUGAGCAGCCAGGCCAGGAUGCACAGUCUCAUUGGUCAGAACUACUUGCCUGGUUCAACCACAGGGCUCUGUGGGGGACAGGGCAGUGAAAAGGACCUUUCACAGAGAUUACUCAUAAGAAACAAGGCUAAAUCUCCCCAGAGGAAAACUACAAGGGUCCUACCGCCGGGGUAGUGACGAGCACAUGCACGCGUGAGUCUGGUUGCUCUCAUCUUUGAAUUCUCUGCUGAAAUAGCACGUCCUCACAGGGAACUUGCCCAACCACCCUCUUCAAAGCAGAAGCCCCAGGUUCAUUUCUGACCUAGCAUCCCAUUUAUUUUCUUCAGAACAUGUGCUAUAAUAUGUAAAUAGCUUCUUUAUUGUUCACUGUUAAAUUUUUCUAUCUAGAAUGAAAUGUGUUUAUUGCAGGAAAAUGGAAUCUUGUAAGAACGGUUUGUCCAGAUCACUUCGGGAUCCCCAGCACCUGGCACGUGGUGGCACCCACUAGCUUCUCAAUGAAAGCUUGUUCAAUAAAUGAAUGACCCCCACUAUUGGUGAGAGUGUCUGAAUUUAGACACCGUUUAA
Molecule: long non-coding RNA, 1021 nt
Filed under: Sus scrofa (pig)
Lineage: Eukaryota; Metazoa; Chordata; Mammalia; Artiodactyla; Suidae
Description: lncRNA (ENSSSCG00045024305.1)
Source: RNAcentral